UCUCCUGGAAAACGGGUGGUAAUGCCGGAUGCUCCAGUUGAUCGCAUGGUCUUCUGGGAAAGCUUUCGCGGUAUGGGAUGGGGUCGCGUCCUAUCAGCUUGACGGCGGGGUAACGGCCCACCGUGGCUUCGACGGGUAGCCGGCCUGAGAGGGCGACCGGCCACAUUGGGACUGAGAUACGGCCCAGACUCCUACGGGAGGCAGCAGUGGGGAAUAUUGCACAAUGGGCGCAAGCCUGAUGCAGCGACGCCGCGUGAGGGAUGGAGGCCUUCGGGUUGUAAACCUCUUUUAUCGGGGAGCAAGCGUGAGUGAGUUUACCCGUUGAAUAAGCACCGGCUAACUACGUGCCAGCAGCCGCGGUAAUACGUAGGGUGCAAGCGUUAUCCGGAAUUAUUGGGCGUAAAGGGCUCGUAGGCGGUUCGUCGCGUCCGGUGUGAAAGUCCAUCGCUUAACGGUGGAUCCGCGCCGGGUACGGGCGGGCUUGAGUGCGGUAGGGGAGACUGGAAUUCCCGGUGUAACGGUGGAAUGUGUAGAUAUCGGGAAGAACACC
RNAcentral lists this ribosomal RNA (550 nucleotides) under Bifidobacterium longum subsp. infantis. RNAcentral's name for it is "bacterial SSU rRNA". It matches the Rfam family "Bacterial small subunit ribosomal RNA", at positions 146 to 710 of the family's 1533-position model. The record is from RNAcentral. Lineage: Bacteria; Bacillati; Actinomycetota; Actinomycetes; Bifidobacteriales; Bifidobacteriaceae.